CCCGGCCCGCGCUCAGCGGAGGCUCCGCCCCGGAAUACGUCAUCUCCAGGCGCGGAUAUGACGGGGCGGCGGCGGCGCCUCUGUCCCGGCAGGGCUCGGCGCUGCUCCGCGGCUCGGGAGGAGCAGUUCCCGUGGCAACGCCGCUCAUGGCGGACCCGUCCCGGCGCCUGGCGGAGGCCGCCCGCCGCCGCCGCCGCCCGCCGGGGGAGGAGCGGCGAGAGCCUCCUGGCGCCGGGCGCUGCCGGACCCGCCACAGGCUGAAGGCGGCCGCGGCACUGGCCCGCGCAGGGAGCGAGGGACCGGCGGCGAACAUGACUUCAGUAGAUAAAGAGUUUGCAGAAGACAGCAACUUUGCACCAAAAGCCAGCACCAGCAAGCUGCCAACAGAUGCAUCUCCUGACUCCAAAUGCCCCAUCUGCCUGGAUAGAUUUGACAAUGUUGCAUAUCUAGAUCGCUGCUUGCACAGAUUCUGCUUCCGCUGUGUCCAGGAGUGGUCAAAAAACAAAGCAGAAUGCCCCCUCUGCAAGCAACCAUUUUUUUCCAUUUUCCAUACAAUUCGUGCUGAAGAUGACUUUAAGGAGUAUGUACUCAGCCCUUUAGAAAACAGCUCUUUUGCCAGCCCUGAUGGCCGGAGGUUUCGUUACCGUACUACCUUAACAAGGGAACGCCGCAAUCGCAGUUCCCCUUCCCGAAGGAUGCUGUCCCCUCCAGAUAACGGGAUGUUGUUUGAAGGGUUGUCAAGCGAGCCGGUGCGUCACAGACACCGAGAGAUUCAUCAGAUGAUGAGGAGGCUGGCCUCAAGGAGGCAGGCUAGCGCAGAGGGCAGAUCUCUGCGGCAGAUUCAGGAGGAGGACAUGAUCAACUUCCGCAGAGCCCUCUACCGUACUGGUGUGCGUAUCCGCGGCAUUCAGGAUGGCGGCCGCUAUCGAGACAUCUCUGCAGAGUUUUUCCGCCGCAACCCUGCCUGCCUCCACCGGUUGGUUCCUUGGUUGAAGCGAGAACUUACAGUCCUGUUUGGUGCCCAUGGAUCUUUGGUUAAUAUUGUACAGCACAUAAUCAUGAGUAACGUGACUAGGUAUGAUCUUGAAAGUCAGGCCUUUGCUGAUGAUUUAAAGCCAUUUUUGCUGAAUCGGACAGAACACUUCCUGCAUGAAUUCAUCAGUUUUGCUCGUUGUCCUUUUAACUUAGAAGCAUACGAUCAACAUGCCAAUUAUGAUUGUCCUGCACCAUCAUAUGAGGAAGGAAGCCAUUCAGACUCAUCAAUUAUUACAAUAUCUCCAGAUGUGGCAUAUUCUCAAGGGCCAGAUAACAGUUCGUCUGUGCCUGGUCUUGGUCAGGCCCCCUGGGAUGAUGAAACUCCAGGGCCUUCCUAUUCCGUUUCAGAAGAGGUUCGUGCAACCAUAGCUUCUCCUCUGGAAUCAUAUGAAAGUUCUGAUGAGGACUCUGCUACAGGGAGUCAAAGAACCAAACUGCAGACUCAGUUACAGGCUAAUGUUGACUCAAAUGACAGUGGCUCUUCCUCAGACAAUUGUGUCAUUGUUGGGUAUGUAAAGCCAUUAGCUGAGAGGACACCAGAAGUGGUUGAACUGUCCUCAGACUCUGAGGAAUCCAUCAGAGAAGAGAAAAGGGAGGAUGUCAAGAAACAGCGUCUAGUCCAGUGUCACAGCUGGAGUGACAGUGAACGAAGCAGGAGCUUCUCACCAUGUUCCCCAACGUAUAAGGAAGAUGCAGGUAGUUGUAGAAGCUGUUUAUCUCCUACAGUUGAGAAGACAGAGUCAAAAGAAGAUGAGAAGAAAAAAUGUGAGGGAAAAGAUCUGCCUCCACGGGACUUGAACUGGAGCCCCUCUCCAGGGAGUGACACAGUGUGUUCCCCUUGGAAUCACAGGAAGGGAAAGUCUAGAAGCCCACAGUCCUGUUCACGGAGCAGUCGAGGCAGUCAUGGCCAUCGGUCUAGGAGGGAGCACCAUAGCAAAAGCCAGCUUAAAAGGAGACGAUCAAGAAGCAGAGAUAGCAGCAAACACAGAAGCAAAAGAAGCAGUAGAAGGUCGAGGGCUCGUGACAGCAGAGCCUCUCUGAAAAGCCAGAGAGGCUCUCUGAGUGGUGAGAGCACUCCAUCCAGAGAAUUAAGCAGACCACGAUCAUGUAGCAAAGGCUACAGUAAAAGGAGAUCAAGAAGUAGAGACAGUGAUCGGUAUUAUGUAAGAGACAGUUAUCAAAGUAGACAUCAAUGGGGUUCUGCUUUCUGUAGUAGAAAGGUGUUUGGGGAUAGCUAUGAAUCCUCCAGUAGGAGGAGGACACGAUCUAAUACUUUUUAUUCGAGGCAAUCUGCUAGUCCAGAAUACAGGAUACGGUCAUUUAUUGAAAGGACAGACCUGCAUAGCCAGAGGGGACUCCAUGAGAGACACUAUUACUGUUAUGAAAGAUGCAGGUCAAGGAGUCGGUCGAGCAACAGGUCAAGGACUCCUUCUGGAGGAACUGACAGAAUGAAAAGCGAAAAGCCUGGUGGAAAAAGGAAGUACAAAACUCGCCACCUGGAGAAUGCAUUCAUGGAGAGCAUAAGUCUAGAAAGAGAAAAUGACCCCAAGAAAACUUCCUCAAAAUUCAGUGACUGCUGCAAAAAUGAAGAUAGCCCGUCAGACAAUCGAGCAAGUAAUGAGACAAAGCGUAAAAAAAGGAAGAAGAAGUUGAGGAGUCCAAGUGUGGAGAUAGUCUUCGAGGGAAAAGCAACGGACACAACGAGGCAUCUUAAAAAAAAAAAGAAAAAGCACAAGAAGAAACACAGGAAACAUCACAUCAGUAACUCAGCACAUUCUUCUCCAGUGGUGAUUACAAUUGAUAGUGACAGUAGCAAGGAGCCAGAAAGUACUGAAUGGGACAGCAGUAUUACUUGGACAGGCACAACUCUGAAAAACGAGGGGGAAAAUGAGUCUCCAUCUUCUUUUCUGAGGACAGGAUGUGAGGAAACUGGAGAAGCAGACAAAAAGUGCAGUAUCCCUACCACAAGGGAAGACUUAGAUGGUGACAUUAGAAAGGCUGAUGUCAAACUUCAAGGAACAGCAGGUGAUCAGAGUGUUAUCACAGCAGAUACCAGCAGUAACACCUCUCACACAGAAACUGUAACCAGCUAUGUUCAGGAAGCACCAGCAGCGCCUUCCAGUCAACUAUCUUCCCCCAGGAUUUCCUUCCCAGAGCAUCCAGAGAGACAACCACUGAUUCUAAGACUACCAAAGAGACUUGUCAACAAAUCCUCUUGGUUUGGUUUCCCAGAAGAAAAAAUGUAGCACACUUUCCACAAAACAUUUCUUGAAAUUGUGAAUUUAACUGCCUUUUUUUUUUUCCCCUUAAGAACUAAAAUAUCUGGUACGAUUUCUCUCUGUUAAAAGAUGUCUGGGAAAUGUGUAAAACCUUUGAAUGUGUAUGCACUUUUGAGUCGAAGAAGAUAGAGAAUUGCUAGUAUGUAACUUUAAAAGUUUUUUUUUUUUUGGAAGACUGUUUAGAAAUUGUAAUUUGAUAAAGCCAUCCACAGUAUUUCAAAGUUUUGCUUAAACCAAAUGACAGAAAAGGAGCCCAAACCAAAAGCCAGAAAAGUAAUUUUAUGGGGAUUGCCCUUCUUAGACAAGGGAAAAAAUGUUUGGUUCAUAAGAAAUUAUCCAGUCUGAAUUCCAGCAUCAUUUCAAUCUCUUUGGUUUAAGCUGAUCUCUGCUGAAAAGUAGUCAGUGAUUUCUACAGAGAUCCUCAGAGGACUUCUAGUAAUUUCAAGGUGAUGUUUCUUUGUGAUGGGUAAUUUCCAGCACUCCUGCUUCAGUUGUCACAGGUGAAAACUCAGCAGGAAUCACACAGAUAAUUAAAUACAGUGGAUCAUCACAAGCUCGUGAUCAAGCUGUCUUCAGGCUUAUUGAUUGCUACAGAGCAGUGGUGGAAAACAAUACUGGUGUACAAUUCAAAGGAAAACAGCCGGCACCACAGCAAAGAUUACCAAAGAACAAAUCGAUGUUACAAAAUACCCUUACCAUGUCCUAUAGUGAAACAGAAUUACAGAAUUGCUGUGAUUUGUGGGCACCUCUGAGAUCGUCUAAAUGAUCCAUCAAAGCACAGUCUAUUGGAGCAGGUUGCCCAGGACCAUGACCUCAGGAAUGAAGUCUUCAGAAUCUCUCGGAGCUCAGCUGCUUGACCACCCUCACCACAAAAGUGAGGGUUUUUUAAAUGUUUAAGUGGUAUUUAUUUUGAUUCAAUUUGCGUUCUUUGCCUCUUCUCUGCUCACUGGAUACCCUUCUUCCUCUGUCUUUGUUACCCCUGUGUGGUUUAUAUACCCAUGUGUACAUGUAUAAUCCUCCCUUCAUACACACCCCCCUCGCCUUCUCCAGACAGAACAAUUGCAGCUCUCUGAGCCUCUCCUGACAGACAAAUUAGCUAAGUUAUUGCACAAGAAUGUAUAUAAUUCUGAAAUUAUAUUAACCCAAAGCACAGAAGAUCCCUGCUCAGCCAAGCUGGCCUUCUGCCUUACCUGAUUGACUUCUCACAUUUGGGAAUUGCUGCUUCUGUGCCUAAACGAGGUGAUGUUUGAAAAGCACUGAUGGACCCCAGCACCUGCAAAAACAUUUUCCCAGGGGACCUUACUUAAUAAUUUCCUGAGCAGCCUGAAUGAAUGUGCUCUCCUUCUGUCCAAAGCUGAUGUUUCAAUGGCACUUUUCCUCCUGUCAACAGAAGUUUUAAACUUGAUCACUUCAGUGGUGCGAAGGGGCACUAGAGUAAGUCAGUCGUGUUGAAGAAUGAGGGGAUAACUUAUCUGGAUAUCAUUGCAGAUUGUUUUGGAUAAAGACCCCUCUGUUUAAAUAAAAUUGUUGCCAUUUCUGAAAUUUGAA
Corapipo altera (White-ruffed manakin) is the source of this 4862-nucleotide RNA transcript. It is a transcript of the gene named TOP1 binding arginine/serine rich protein, with no coding region annotated. The transcript is spliced from 5 exons. The record is from RefSeq and is a predicted model, not a curated record. NCBI's taxonomy places the organism in Eukaryota, Metazoa, Chordata, Aves, Passeriformes, Pipridae.